GACGAACGCUGGCGGCGCGCCUAAUACAUGCAAGUCGAGCGAAUGGAUUAAGAGCUUGCUCUUAUGAAGUUAGCGGCGGACGGGUGAGUAACACGUGGGUAACCUGCCCAUAAGACUGGGAUAACUCCGGGAAACCGGGGCUAAUACCGGAUAACAUUUUGAACCGCAUGGUUCGAAAUUGAAAGGCGGCUUCGGCUGUCACUUAUGGAUGGACCCGCGUCGCAUUAGCUAGUUGGUGAGGUAACGGCUCACCAAGGCAACGAUGCGUAGCCGACCUGAGAGGGUGAGCGGCCACACUGGGACUGAGACAUGGCCCAGACUCCUACGGGAGGCAGCAGUAGGGAAUCUUCCGCAAUGGACGAAAGUCUGACGGAGCAACGCCGCGUGAGUGAUGAAGGCUUUCGGGUCGUAAAACUCUGUUGUUAGGGAAGAACAAGUGCUAGUUGAAUAAGCUGGCACCUUGACGGUACCUAACCAGAAAGCCACGGCUAACUACGUGCCAGCCGCCGCCGUAA
Molecule: ribosomal RNA, 515 nt
Filed under: uncultured bacterium
Lineage: Bacteria
Description: partial 16S ribosomal RNA
Rfam family: Bacterial small subunit ribosomal RNA
Source: RNAcentral